RNAcentral lists this ribosomal RNA (270 nucleotides) under uncultured archaeon. RNAcentral's name for it is "partial 16S ribosomal RNA". It matches the Rfam family "Archaeal small subunit ribosomal RNA", at positions 477 to 747 of the family's 1478-position model. The record is from RNAcentral.
CAGCACCUCAAGUGGUCAGGAUGAUUAUUGGGCCUAAAGCAUCCGUAGCCGGCGCUGUAAGUUUUCGGUUAAAUCUGUACGCUCAACGUACAGGCUGCCGGGAAUACUGCAGCGCUAGGGAGUGGGAGAGGUAGACGGUACUCGGUAGGAAGGGGUAAAAUCCUUUGAUCUAUUGAUGACCACCUGUGGCGAAGGCGGUCUACCAGAACACGUCCGACGGUGAGGGACGAAGCCCUGGGGCACAAACCGGAUUAGAUACCCGAGUAGUCC